GCCGCGCCAUGGCAGCUACCUGCACGUUCUGAUGUGGCACCAGCCUGUGAAUUCAGUAGCCGGUGUGGGCGGGGGCAGCUGCACUGCUUCCCUGAAGCCACGUGGGACGGCUACGCUGCCCAAAGGCAAAAGCAAGACCCUCCCAGGUACCGCGUCAAACCAGGGCCACCAAGAGCGGAGUAAGAAUAGGGGAGAGGAGGGAAGCCCGGUGCAUGGGCCUCGGCGGGGACACGGCCCAGCGUCUGCAGGGGGUGGCUGCACCUGCUCCACGGCGUCCUAGGCCACCAGGGCUCAAGGAGGCCCUCUCCAGGGGCAGAGUCCCGACCCAGAGGCUCAGGGGCCACAUCGGGCCUCUGACGUGCUGGCUGCACUGUGCAGCUCUGAAAAGGAAGGUGGGGGCGGGGUACAGCGGAUUCUGCAAUAGACUCAGAUUCCUAGUUUCUUUAGGAAACUGGGAACUUGGGGCAAUGCUGGGCUGGCUGGCGGCCGGCAGCGGCCAGCAGGGGCUGCCCUCUUUGUCUGCAGGUCGCCAAAAUCCCCCUACACACACACACACACACACACAAACACCAAGGCUGGGUCCUCGCCGCCCUGUCUGGCCCUGGCACCCCAGCCUCAGAGACUCUUCCAGGCCCUCCACCUCCAGGCCCGCUGAUCCGAGGAGGGUGCUGACCCACCCGGCUCCACCAAGGCCAGGGCCAGGAUGCAGAGGCUCUGCCUGGGCUCAGGGCACCGGGCCCUCUGUGCAGUCUCAGAGUCAGGACCCCCCCGGAUCCCCCAGACCCAGGAGCCCAGGCACACGUGUAAGUCAGCCACCAGAGGGUGCUGUGAGGGGCACAGGCGACCACUGUCCACAGGGCCCAGCUGCUGCCUCCACCAGCGCCCUGCUUCUCUGCACCGCAGGGCCGCCCGCCAGCAAUUUCUGCUUUUAAUGGCAAUGAAUGAAAGCGUCCCUGGGCUCCUUGGGAUGACUGGCGACUGCACACAUGACCCAGAUGGCACGAAACACUGCGGGGCAGAGCAGCGCCAGGCGGUCAGCCUGCCCGAGGGGCCCCAUUU
RNAcentral lists this long non-coding RNA (1059 nucleotides) under Oryctolagus cuniculus (rabbit). RNAcentral describes it as "lncRNA (ENSOCUG00000036539.1)". Lineage: Eukaryota; Metazoa; Chordata; Mammalia; Lagomorpha; Leporidae. The record is from RNAcentral.